This 141-nucleotide small nuclear RNA is filed under the name Lupinus angustifolius (narrow-leaved blue lupine). RNAcentral describes it as "snRNA U1". It matches the Rfam family "U1 spliceosomal RNA", at positions 21 to 166 of the family's 166-position model. Rfam says of the family: U1 is a small nuclear RNA (snRNA) component of the spliceosome (involved in pre-mRNA splicing). The record is from RNAcentral. Lineage: Eukaryota; Viridiplantae; Streptophyta; Magnoliopsida; Fabales; Fabaceae.
GUAGUGACUUUAAUGUAGCAUUCCUCCUAAGUGUAGUGACCUUCACUACACUUAGGAGGGAUCUACAUUAAAGUCUACCUAUGUGGUUGAAUUUACGUCAUAAUUUGUGGUAGUAGGGGCUUGCGUUUGCGUAGCCCUUUC